This 273-nucleotide ribosomal RNA is filed under the name uncultured bacterium. Its description in RNAcentral is "partial 16S ribosomal RNA". It matches the Rfam family "Bacterial small subunit ribosomal RNA", at positions 85 to 354 of the family's 1533-position model. The record is from RNAcentral.
CCGCCGGCGACCGGCGCACGGGUGAGUAACACGUAUGCAACCUGGCCGUGACAGAUGGAUAACCGGGAGAAAUCCCGCCUAAUACAGCAUGACGCCGGGAAGGGUCAUCCCUUUCCGGCCAAAGGGGGCGACUCCGGUCACGGAUGGGCAUGCGGCGCAUUAGGUAGUUGGUGGGGCAACGGCCCACCAAGCCGACGAUGCGUAGGGGUUCUGAGAGGAAGGUCCCCCACAUUGGAACUGAGACACGGUCCAAACUCCUACGGGAGGCAGCAG